UACGAAGGGGGCUAGCGUUGCUCGGAAUCACUGGGCGUAAAGCGCACGUAGGCGGAUUGCUAAGUCAGGGGUGAAAUCCUGGAGCUCAACUCCAGAACUGCCCUUGAUACUGGCGGUCUCGAGUCCGGGAGAGGUGAGUGGAACUGCGAGUGUAGAGGUGAAAUUCGUAGAUAUCGCAAGAACACCAGUGGCGAAGGCGGCUCACUGGCCCGGUACUG
RNAcentral lists this ribosomal RNA (218 nucleotides) under uncultured bacterium. RNAcentral describes it as "partial 16S ribosomal RNA". It matches the Rfam family "Bacterial small subunit ribosomal RNA", at positions 524 to 742 of the family's 1533-position model. The record is from RNAcentral.